ACGGGGGCCCGCACAAGCGGCGGAGCAUGCGGAUUAAUUCGAUGCAACGCGAAAACCUUACUACCCUUGACAUGUCCGGAAUCCCGAAGAGAUUUGGGAGUGCUCGCAAGAGAACCGGAACACAGGUGCUGCAUGGCUGUCGUCAGCUCGUGUCGUGAGAUGUUGGGUUAAGUCCCGCAACGAGCGCAACCCUUGUCAUUAGUUGCCAUCAUUUGGUUGGGCACUCUAAUGAGACUGCCGGUGACAAACCGGAGGAAGGUGGGGAUGACGUCAAGUCCUCAUGGCCCUUAUGGGUAGGGCUUCACACGUCAUACAAUGGUCGGUACAGAGGGUUGCCAACCCGCGAGGGGGAGCUAAUCCCACAAAGCCGAUCGUAGUCCGGAUCGCAGUCUGCAACUCGACUGCGUGAAGUCGGAAUCGCUAGUAAUCGUGGAUCAGCAUGUCACGGUGAAUACGUUCCCGGGUCUU
This 468-nucleotide ribosomal RNA is filed under the name uncultured Rhodocyclaceae bacterium. RNAcentral describes it as "bacterial SSU rRNA". It matches the Rfam family "Bacterial small subunit ribosomal RNA", at positions 913 to 1382 of the family's 1533-position model. Lineage: Bacteria; Pseudomonadati; Pseudomonadota; Betaproteobacteria; Rhodocyclales; Rhodocyclaceae. The record is from RNAcentral.